This is a non-coding RNA of Pelobates cultripes (western spadefoot toad), 234 nucleotides long. The record is from the annotation of a GenBank genome assembly. Lineage: Eukaryota; Metazoa; Chordata; Amphibia; Anura; Pelobatidae.
CAUACCAUUUGCAAAAGUAGACUACCCAAAGUAUUGCAAGUGGGGUAUGCCCAGUCUUUUGUAGUAGCCACUUAGUCACAAACACUGGCCAAAGUUAACAUUCAUAUGUGUUUUUGUGUGAAAAAAAGCAAAAAACAAAUAUUUGGCAAAUGUUUGUGACGAAGUGGCUACUAAAAAUUACUGGACAAACCCCAUUUGCAAUACCUUGGGUUGUCUAAUUUUGCAAAUGAUAUG